UACAGAGGUGGCAAGCGUUGUUCGGAAUUACUGGGCGUAAAGGGCGCGUAGGCGGCCUUGUCAGUCAGACGUGAAAUCCCCAGGCUUAACCUGGGAACUGCGUCUGAUACUGGAUGGCUUGAGUUUGGGAGAGGGAUGCGGAAUUCCAGGUGUAGCGGUGAAAUGCGUAGAUAUCUGGAGGAACACCGGUGGCGAAGGCGGCAUCCUGGACCAACACUGACGCUGAGGAGCGAAAGCCAGGGGAGCAAACGGG
Molecule: ribosomal RNA, 253 nt
Filed under: uncultured bacterium
Lineage: Bacteria
Description: partial 16S ribosomal RNA
Rfam family: Bacterial small subunit ribosomal RNA
Source: RNAcentral